CAUGUAGGCGGUUUUUUAAGUCUGGAGUGAAAAUGCGGGGCUCAACCCCGUAUGGCUCUGGAUACUGGAAGACUUGAGUGCAGGAGAGGAAAGGGGAAUUCCCAGUGUAGCGGUGAAAUACGUAGAUAUUGGGAGGAACACCAGUGGCGAAGGCGCCUUUCUGGACUGUGUCUGACGCUGAGAUGCGAAAGCCAGGGUAGCGAACG
Molecule: ribosomal RNA, 206 nt
Filed under: uncultured bacterium
Lineage: Bacteria
Description: partial 16S ribosomal RNA
Rfam family: Bacterial small subunit ribosomal RNA
Source: RNAcentral